CAGCAGCCGCGGGAAUACGUAGGGUCCGAGCGUUGUCCGGAAUUAUUGGGCGUAAAGGGCUCGUAGGCGGUUUGUCGCGUCGGGAGUGAAAACCAGCAGCUUAACUGCUGGCCUGCUUUCGAUACGGGCAGACUUGAGGCAUUCAGGGGAGAACGGAAUUCCUGGUGUAGCGGUGAAAUGCGCAGAUAUCAGGAGGAACACCGGUGGCGAAGGCGGUUCUCUGGGAAUGUUCUGACGCUGAGGAGCGAAAGUGUGGGGAGCGAACAGGAUUAGAUACCCCUGUAGUCCCUGUCUCUUAUAC
RNAcentral lists this ribosomal RNA (301 nucleotides) under uncultured bacterium. RNAcentral describes it as "partial 16S ribosomal RNA". It matches the Rfam family "Bacterial small subunit ribosomal RNA", at positions 509 to 807 of the family's 1533-position model. The record is from RNAcentral.